CCUACGGGAGGCAGCAGUGGGGAAUAUUGGACAAUGGGCGAAAGCCUGAUCCAGCCAUGCCGCGUGUGUGAAGAAGGCCUUCGGGUUGUAAAGCACUUUCAGUGGGGAAGAAAGCCUUGGGGCUAAUACCCUCGAGGAAGGACAUCACCCACAGAAGAAGCACCGGCUAACUCCGUGCCAGCAGCCGCGGUAAUACGGAGGGUGCGAGCGUUAAUCGGAAUUACUGGGCGUAAAGCGCGCGUAGGCGGUCUGAUAAGCCGGUUGUGAAAGCCCCGGGCUCAACCUGGGAACGGCAUCCGGAACUGUCAGGCUAGAGUGCAGGAGAGGAAGGUAGAAUUCCCGGUGUAGCGGUGAAAUGCGUAGAGAUCGGGAGGAAUACCAGUUGCGAAGGCGGCCUUCUGGACUGACACUGACGCUGAGGUGCGAAAGCGUGGGUAGCAAACAGGAUUAGAUACCCGAGUAGUC
This 465-nucleotide ribosomal RNA is filed under the name Vreelandella stevensii. Its description in RNAcentral is "partial 16S ribosomal RNA". It matches the Rfam family "Bacterial small subunit ribosomal RNA", at positions 338 to 795 of the family's 1533-position model. Lineage: Bacteria; Pseudomonadati; Pseudomonadota; Gammaproteobacteria; Oceanospirillales; Halomonadaceae. The record is from RNAcentral.